GAGGAGCCUGGAGGGCUACAAUCCAUCGGGUUGCACAGAAUCAGACAUGACUAAAGCAGCUCUAACUUAAAGAGGACAAGAAAAAACAGAAGGUUCUAAGUGUAAUCCUCUUCUGAGAAAAUAAAUUGAGCAGACCCUGUUGAAGACAAUUAAUGAUGUCAUGAAGCCACCACAGAUAGGAUGAAGGCCUGAUAUAGAUAACUGGGGAACUGGUAAACAAGCUAUACUGUCUGCUCUGGAGUUGGAGAAUGUGUUAAACACGCUCCUGCAAGACCUGAAGGCCUCAGCUUCUAGGAAUAGAGAAACCAAUCUCUUACGCUUCAUGAAAAAGUACCUGGAUGAACAGACCAGGAACAUAAGCUAUCUGGAAUACCAGCUUAACUAUCAGAAGGAGUUGGAAACGUCAGCCCAGAGUGAAGGACAGCCUGAAAAUGUCGCCGGACCAUCUGGAGCAUCAGGUCAAAAGACAGAAUCUGCCGGCAACUCUCCGAGUCCUCCUGCCCAGAAGAUCCCAAAGCCAGCUCCUUAAGAAUCCUGAUCUCCAUUUGACAGAAGAGCAGAACUGAGUCUGAUUAAGAGGAAUAUUACAAAUGCAGUCUACUAGAAUGGAAGCAUACAGACACGUAAGGCUCUCUAGGAUCCUGCCUGUUA
This is a long non-coding RNA of Cervus elaphus (red deer), 651 nucleotides long. RefSeq lists it as uncharacterized. NCBI's taxonomy places the organism in Eukaryota, Metazoa, Chordata, Mammalia, Artiodactyla, Cervidae. The transcript has 5 exons. The record is from RefSeq and is a predicted model, not a curated record.